GUGAGGAAUAUUGGUCAAUGGGCGGAAGCCUGAACCAGCCAUGCCGCGUGAAGGAUGAAGGUUCUAUGGAUUGUAAACUUCUUUUAUUUGGGAAUAAACCCUCCGACGUGUUGGAGGCUGAAGGUACCAAAUGAAUAAGCACCGGCUAACUCCGUGCCAGCAGCCGCGGUAAUACGGAGGGUGCAAGCGUUAUCCGGAAUCAUUGGGUUUAAAGGGUCCGCAGGCGGAUUUAUAAGUCAGUGGUGAUAGCCUACAGCUCAACUGUAGAACUGGCAUUGAUACUGUAAGUCUUGAAUUCGGUCGAAGUGGGCGGAAUAUGACAUGUAGCGGUGAAAUGCAUAGAUAUGUCAUAGAACACCGAUAGCGAAGGCAGCUCACUAGGCCUGAAUUGACGCUCAUGGACGAAAGCGUGGGGAGCAAACAGGAUUAGAAACCCGGGUAGUCC
Molecule: ribosomal RNA, 445 nt
Filed under: uncultured bacterium
Lineage: Bacteria
Description: partial 16S ribosomal RNA
Rfam family: Bacterial small subunit ribosomal RNA
Source: RNAcentral